CUUACGUGCUUUCUCUUUCCCUCUGGCAAUAAUUCCGAUAGAAUGAAAGCUCCAUGAAAGUAAGGACUUCGCUCCUUUUGUUCGUUGUCUUCAGUACUAAAGUUGUACAUGGCAUACAAAUAAUUGUUGGAAAAAAAUCAAUGAAGGAAGGAAUAUUAUUAUGGACCUUUGACAGUUGAUAAAACCAAGCCUGAGAUAGGUUAAGGAACUUUCUUACAGAGCUUGUAAAAGGCAGAAUUGGAGUUUAAUUUCAUCUGACACCAAUGGUAACAUGUAUUCGAGUAAGUGAGGAAACUGUUCUGGGGUCCCAGGAAAAGGUGGUGAUUGUGAUUGAGGAACCCAGAGGAAAACGUGGCGUUUGGACCUGGGCCUUGGGAGAUGAACUUCCACAUUUGAUUUCGUUGUUGGCAAAGCAAUAUUAGGCCAAGCCCCUAUUCAAUGAAAAAAAGAAGAAGCCCUUGUUUCCAAUAGUCUUCCUUACAGCUGAUAUUGAACUUCUGGGCUCAAGUGAUUCUCCUGCCUUGGCCUCCUGAGCAGCUGGGACGACAGGCCCCCUCCCAAACAUUUUGAGUGAUCCUGUUUGAGCUCUAGAAGAACAGCUUUCAAAAGCAGACCUUUUUUUCCUGCUUGGUUUUGGCAGUGCCUAAAUCUCAGCGGUGCGUUGUUAGCCUUUGGUUAUGGGAGGCCAAGGCUCUCACGGUGCCUGGUUUCUGGAUUUUGUGACUGAGAGCAUCAUGUGACCUUCUGGAGCCAAUAGCAGGGCCCAUGAUACAGUGCCCUGUCCAAGUGAUGGAGGAAACCAUUCCUUCCACUCCCUCCUCUCUCUCCACUUGAAUGUAAUCCGAGUUGUGAUCCCCCGUUUAAGAAACAGACUGUGACUUCAACAACAAUGAACUUACUUCCUACGCAUCCCUCCAUCCCACCUCUCGGGUGAUUUAAAAGAGGAAACAAGAUUUCCUCCUCCCAGGCCCGACUGGACAGAGCCACCUCCAGCGUGGGGCAGCCCAGCGCCGGCUCUGCGGCUUCAGGAAGUCCCUCAUCCUCCUCACCCCAUUCGCAUCCUGGACCUGGAGGAUGAGCAGGAAGUGAAAAGUGUCCGGCAGAGUCUUUCAAGCUCACAGUCGGCUCCGGGGCAGUCCGCGUGGGCUUUUAGGAAAACAAUACAGAACUUUCCAAAGUGCUCUGUUAAUGGCUGUCUGCAAACACUUUACAGGGCUGUGUUUGAAACUGCCAGUCACCAAGGCUCGGGGUUAUUUAUUUAUUUAUUUUCUUUCCAUUUUGCUGGGAAGAAAAACAGUCAAGAUUGAGGGCUGUUCUCAGUCACUCUCUUCCUGGUUGUUUGGAAUACCUUUGACAGCAGAUGGGUGGGGCCACUCCCAGGCCUCUUCUCCCAGGGCAGCCCUCUGCUCAGGGUCAGGAAGACUGAUGUGCCCAAAUUGAUGCUUUAAAUGUGGGAAGCCCCCCCUCCCCCAGUACACACACCAGGGGCCAGCUGCCAGCUGUUCUGAGCCUUUGGGCAGGCCACUCUGCUGUUUCAGCGUCCUCCUUUGUAAACUGAAGGGACUGGAAGGUCCGCAGUCAGUGAGCCCCUUGUAGGGACACUCCACAGUCUCCUGGGGCAGUAACCUCAGGUGCACCUUAAACCUUCUCCAGAGAGUGCUUCUCAACAUCUUCCACUCUGCCCUGCCUAAUGUGGAGGCUUCUUGCUCCUGGGACUGACCUCCUGAAAUGCUCUUCAGCAAAUCCCCGCUGACCUAGAGCAAGGCAUGGUCUGACAAAAAGCUUUUAUGAAGCCAUCUUCCAGAGUCUUCAUCAGUGUGAUUUUUUUUUUUGCACCAGAAUGUCUAUUGUGGCUCAAUUUACAAUUGCUAAGUCGUAGAAUCAACCUAAAGUGCCCAUCAACCCAUGAAUGGACCAACCAACUGUGGUAUAUGCAUACCAUGGAAUAUCAUUCAGCCAUUAAAAAAGAUGGUGACUUCACAUCCUUUACAUUCACCUGGAUGGAGUUGAAAUACAUCUUUCCAAAUAGAGCAUCGCAAGAUAGAAAAAUAAAUAUCCAAUGUACUCUAUACUAACAUGAAAAUAAUAUACAAAUAAUUACAUACUUAUAUGAACAAUAAAAUACAAAUAUAGUCUAGUACAGGGGUAGAGAGAGGUGGGAGGGGGAGGACGACUGACGAAGGAGGGGGAGGAAUGAGGUGGGAUCUCCCCUAAUGUGCACAUUGUGGGGGUAUGUAAGACGCCCCCUGGGUGAGGGGUGCUUUUACAAAUGGAACUUUACCCUGGAAGUGAGAACAACGUAACCUAAAAAUUUGUAUCCUCAUAUUAAUUUGAAAUAAAAAAUAA
Long non-coding RNA from Nycticebus coucang (slow loris), 2346 nucleotides. RefSeq lists it as uncharacterized. The transcript is spliced from 3 exons. The record is from RefSeq and is a predicted model, not a curated record. Lineage: Eukaryota; Metazoa; Chordata; Mammalia; Primates; Lorisidae.